GCUCUGGUCGGAAACCAGAGCACGAUCACAAGGAG
Regulatory RNA element from Coriobacterium glomerans PW2, 35 nucleotides. It matches the Rfam family "L31-Coriobacteria ribosomal protein leader". The record is from Rfam. Lineage: Bacteria; Bacillati; Actinomycetota; Coriobacteriia; Coriobacteriales; Coriobacteriaceae.